RNAcentral lists this ribosomal RNA (253 nucleotides) under uncultured bacterium. RNAcentral describes it as "partial 16S ribosomal RNA". It matches the Rfam family "Bacterial small subunit ribosomal RNA", at positions 524 to 776 of the family's 1533-position model. The record is from RNAcentral.
UACGUAGGGUGCAAGCGUUGUCCGGAAUUAUUGGGCGUAAAGAGCUCGUAGGCGGUCUGUCGCGUCGGAUGUGAAAACCCAGGGCUCAACCCUGGGCCUGCAUUCGAUACGGGCAGACUAGAGUUCGGUAGGGGAGACUGGAAUUCCUGGUGUAGCGGUGAAAUGCGCAGAUAUCAGGAGGAAUACCGAUGGCGAAGGCAGGUCUCUGGGCUGAUACUGACGCUCAUGCACGAAAGCGUGGGGAGCAAACAGG